This is a non-coding RNA of Salmo salar (Atlantic salmon), 1254 nucleotides long. NCBI's taxonomy places the organism in Eukaryota, Metazoa, Chordata, Actinopteri, Salmoniformes, Salmonidae. The record is from RefSeq and is a predicted model, not a curated record.
CUGAAUCCUGAAUGUGUAGGAUGUUACACCCAGAUAUUGCUUCAAACCAUUCCUUUAUACCCUUUAUGAUCCAUCUCAUCUCAUUCUCCUCCCUCUUCGUUACGAAACACUUUAGCAAUCUCACCCACAGCCAAAUGAAAGUAGACAUUGUGUAAAACUUUUUUUCUCUCUCCCUCCCACUCCCUCUGCUUUCUAUUAAGCCCCUAACGCAUGUCCCAUCCCCCAUUACUCUUCUCCAUGCUCUCUCUUCAUCUCUCAUGUCGGAAAGCAGCUGGGGUCGCAGAACAAAACCAGCGAUGUCCUUUUUCGGAAUUCAACUGACGGACAUUCAACAUGAAUAAACAAAAUAAACCUGUAGUGCACGAUGGCAACGUCCUGCUCUGUCUUUUCUUUCUACCUUGCUCAAAAGUGUUCAUUUUCUUGAAAUGUUUAGGGAUAGAUUCCAUUGUAAGCACGUUUCUGUGGCCCUAUCAUACUCCCGCCCAACCAUCCCCACACCCACCCGUCUCCCUCAUGUAAAUAUCUCCCUCCAGUUGUGUAAUAUUAUUUCAUCUACGCAGUUCUGUUUCAGGCAAGCCAGUUUGGUCACUAUCCUUCAACAGAUGAUCAUGUCGAUGAACAUGGCGUCCAACAUCAGUCCAGCAGGGGGAGAAGGAGGGCCACAUACCACUAUGGUGGGAGGAAGUAAACCACUGCACCGCUUCAUCAGAGGCGAGCCAAAGAGUACUGGGAUUGUAAUGAUGUUCAUGGGAUCAUCACUCUUCAUCUUGGGGAUUCCCAUGAGGCUGGAUACACUGAAGUCCUCUGCAGAGAUUUUCACCCCUUUUUGGCUAGGAAUCCUGUUCAUCAUCUCUGGGUUGUUAUAUGUGCUCACAGAGAAGAAUCCUUCAAAACAACUGGCAUCCUGCGCAUUCAGGAAUCACAUGACUCCUAUGAUUAUUACCACGAAGACUACAACGCCACAGAAUCUGGCAGAGUUGCAGCCCUCUGGCAUAAACAACAUAUGUACCAGUUGAUCAGCCUCGAGGCUGUAUUUAUGUACCAGAGCUUAGUAGGCAUGGUGCUCCUAAUUGUGAUGACAUCAUUUGCCAGGGUUGCCCUGCAUUCCAGCAAGACACAGGCAGUUGUGGUAAUGCAAGAUCUACCAUCACCAGACUGAAUAAAGAAAACAAGGCUUUUCUGACUGUCUCUGCCGUGGUGGAUAGAUAGAAAAUUGGGACUUGCCCAUUGAUAUGAAAUAAAUGUAUUCACAAA